CCCUUAGAUGUUCUGGGCCGCACGCGCGCUACACUGACGAUGGCAACGAGUUUUUACUUCGCCGAAAGGUGUGGGUAAUCUUUUGAAACAUCGUCGUGCUGGGGAUAGAUCAUUGCAAUUUUUGAUCUUGAACGAGGAAUUCCUAGUAAGCGCGAGUCAUCAGCUCGCGUUGAUUACGUCCCUGCCCUUUGUACACACCGCCCGUCGCUACUACCGAUUGAAUGGUUUAGUGAGGACUCCUGAUUGGCGCCGCCGCCCCGGCAACGGAGCAGCGGACUGCCGAAAAGUUGUUCAAACUUGAUCAUUUAGAGGAAGUAAAAGUCGUAACA
RNAcentral lists this ribosomal RNA (329 nucleotides) under uncultured eukaryote. RNAcentral's name for it is "partial 18S ribosomal RNA". It matches the Rfam family "Eukaryotic small subunit ribosomal RNA", at positions 1470 to 1796 of the family's 1831-position model. The record is from RNAcentral.